GAUGAACGCUGGCGGCGUGCCUAAUACAUGCAAGUCGAGCGAACAGACGAGGAGCUUGCUCCUCUGACGUUAGCGGCGGACGGGUGAGUAACACGUGGAUAACCUACCUAUCAGACUGGGAACACUUCGGGACUCCGGCUCUUAUACCGGAUAAUCUCUUGCUCCGCAUGGUUCAAUGGUGAAAGUCGGUUUUGCUGUAACUUCUCGCUGGUUCUGCGCCGCAUUAGCUAGUUGGUAAGGUAACGGCUUAUCACGGCAACGAUGCGUAAGCGACCUGAGAGGGGGGUCGGCCACACUGGAACGGAGACGCGGUCCAGACGACUGCGGGAGGCAGCAGAAGGGAAUCGGCCGCAGUAGUCGAAAGCUUGACGCAGCAACGCCGCGUGAGUGAUGAAGGUGUUCGGAGCGGAAAACUCUGUUAUGAGUGAAGAACAAAUUUGUAAGUAACUAUGCACGUCUUGACGGUACCUAAUCAGAAAGCCACGGCUAACUACGUG
This 497-nucleotide ribosomal RNA is filed under the name uncultured bacterium. Its description in RNAcentral is "partial 16S ribosomal RNA". It matches the Rfam family "Bacterial small subunit ribosomal RNA", at positions 28 to 507 of the family's 1533-position model. The record is from RNAcentral.